Molecule: long non-coding RNA, 2397 nt
Filed under: Musa acuminata (dwarf banana)
Lineage: Eukaryota; Viridiplantae; Streptophyta; Magnoliopsida; Zingiberales; Musaceae
Description: long non-coding RNA (MACU_LNC007313)
Source: RNAcentral
CUGAGUGGUUGGUCAAAUUUGACUCUUCCUUCUUUAAAGCUUUGACAUCAAUUUUAAUGGAGCCACCAUUGGAUUGGAUGGGGUUCAAGUUGAUGUUUGACUCUAAGGGGAACAUCAUUCAUUGUCUUGUAGUCACCACAGAUAGCGAUGAUAUGACACACUAAAUUAUCUGUUCUUGAGAGGAGGAAAAAUAAAAAUAAAAAUCAUCAGUUAACACCAUCAAUAUCAUCUCAAAUCUGAAUGUAAAAUAUCGAUUUAAAAAUAUAAAUCAAUUGACAUUAAAUGUAAAACUAUAUCGUCUGUCUCACGAACAUAAAUUUCAUGCAUUCUCAUAAAAUUACAUAAAUAAAUAAUAAUAAUAAUAAUAAUUAUUAUUAUUAUUAUUAUAUAUAUAUAUAUUAAAAGUUAAAAAUUUAAAUUAAAAUGUUCAUAAUUUAAUUAAGAAUACUUGUAUAUAUAUGAAACUCAUGUAUUUUGUCCUAGCUACUUGGAAAGCUAUAUGGCUUGCCAUUGUUUGUAAUCAUACAAUUUAAGUUUUAAUUAUCUGUGAUGGUGGAAUUAAUCGACACGAACUUCAAAAUAGAAUCUUGAGGUUAAGUAUACUCUAAAAGAUCUCCUCAGUAUUAUGUUUUCCCAAAUUGCACAAAAGGAUUGUAAGUGUGAUCAUACCAUAUCAGUUAAUUGCACCUUGUUGGAAGAUAUAUUUAGUUAGUUCUUGUUUCAAUCUUUGUUAGUCCAAGUUGACAUUGCUAAUGCCUUUUGACUUGAACUUGAGUAAUUUAUUCACCCCCAACUGAUAAGUUGAUCGAGUCUGAUGCCCGAGAAAAAUGACCACUUGAUUCUGACAUGGACGGCAUUCAGUGAUCAGGUCCUACCCAGCUUGAAUUUUCAUACCUCUCUCUCUCUCUCUCUCAAUUAAUGCAUCCUCAUCAUAAAACUCAAUCGGACUUGUUGAAGUUUACUUUGUUAUCAUAUAUGGUGCUUGGAAAUUAAUAUAAUCUAGACACUAAAGUUAUUAAGUUCCAAAGAAAGACACUUAUUAUGAACCAAAACAAACACGACUAUUUUGAAGAUGAGGAUAUCUUUCAAUUGGUUAAACUUCUUGUAUCAAAAGUCUCUAUUUUUAUGAAGAAGAAACACAAAAAUACUCUUAACAAGAAAUAAGUUGAAGACCUAUAUAAGAGUUCAAAUUCUCUAAAAAAGAAUUAUUCUAGUUAGUAGGUUAUUAAUUUGGGAGAGAUCUUGUUGAGAUUUUAAUUACUAGAGUUUGAGAUUGGAUACCAUGAAGCUUACUCACUUAAAGUAUGGUCUAACUCCAAUAUACAUCAUUCAAAUAUUUUUAAUUCUUAACAACAUAAGAUUAUUCAUGAUAGUAUCUCAAAAUCUAUCUCACAUAUAAUAUAUUUUUCUCUUUAUAUGUAACUAAAAAUUAAACGACAAUGAAGAUGUCAGCUAACUUAGUUUAUAGAUGUAUUAAUAAUUCAUCAUAACGUCCAGGGUUUAAAUUUCAUCUUCGUCAUUUACCUUUUUUGUAAAAAUUUUAAAAAUAGAAAACAAAUUGCAAAUUUGACUUGGACUAUCUAGUUCAUGUUGUGACCAAAUGUAUAUGGAAUGGGAAACUAAUACCACCCAAAACAUAACUCACUUGAUCCUAUUAAAUUCUUGAUAAUAUAUCUCGAUCUCUUUCUCAUAGAUGAAUAUUUAUCCAUCAAUUUUCUUUUCAUUUUCCUAGGCAAGAAAUUAUGCUUAAAAUUUGCAUUCCUGACAACAAUAAUUCACAGUUCUAGGGUUUAAUAAGGAGUGAUUUUGCAUGUCCUAAAAGAAAAUCUAGAGCUUUUGUUUUAGAAAUUUAAUUUUCCAUAUAAUUAUACAUUUUUAAAAGGGUUAAACAACUAAUUAAUUCAUUACCUAUCUGAGUUUAUCUUUUAUACAUUUUCUUUUGUAAAGUCCUUAUCAUCUAAAACUUCAUUAUUAUAUGUAAAAUAAAUAAAUAACAUUUUAUCUCUUUUCUUUUGUAAAGUCCUUAUCAAACAAUCUAAUUAACAUCAUCUGAAAUUUAUCUAAUUGACAUCUUUUAAAAUUUAUCUAACGAAAUUUCAAAUCCUAUCCUACAAAUGGAUUUGAUAAAUCACUAUAGCACCAAUAUUUUAUCGGGAGACUGGCUCAAGUUGCAAGGCCCCAAGUGUAACACAGAGUAGCUGUACGCAGCAAGAAGAAGAAGAAGGUUGAUACUCUGACAACGCUGUCACGUUAUCUAGCGGAAAAAGAGCAGGCACGUACCCCUUCCCCUCGGACUUCGCCACCUCUCCUCCGGGUGCAACGUACCUGUCCCCGACUGUUGAAGACAGCGAGGUUACCGGAGCCGCUAUCAACCACGAAGCUCGUGCUGUUGACCAG